Non-coding RNA from Punica granatum (pomegranate), 1575 nucleotides. Lineage: Eukaryota; Viridiplantae; Streptophyta; Magnoliopsida; Myrtales; Lythraceae. The record is from RefSeq and is a predicted model, not a curated record.
UGCCGCAUCAGUUCAAGAGGUUCUAUGUGUGCCUUGAUGCUUGUAGAAGAGGUUUCCUUGCUGGAUGCAGGGGAAUAAUUGGAUUAGAUGGUUGUUUCUUGAAAGGGCCUUGUAAAGGAGAGCUUUUAUCUGCUAUUGGAAAAGAUGCAAAUAACCAAAUGUAUCCAAUUGCUUGGGCUGUGGUAGAAGCAGAGUGCACUGACUCAUGGACUUGGUUUCUGAACAAUUUGAAGCAUGAUCUAGGACUGGGGAAUGGGAAUGGAUGGAGCUUCAUGAGUGAUCGACAGAAGGGUCUCAUACGCUCUAUCGAGGACAUCCUUCCAUUAGUUGAGCACAGAAUGUGCAGGAGACACGUCUAUGCCAAUUGGCGGAAGAACCACAAGCGUUGAUCGCUGCAAAUGAACUUUUGAGAAUGCACAUGUUCGACUACGAUCCCACAUUUUGAGAGGGCUUUAAAAGAUUUGGAACAAAUAACAAAGCAAGGAGCUAAAGACUUGCUGGAUACCCAUCCUGAGCACUGGUGUAGAGCCUAUUUUGAUACUGAAAUCAAGUGUGAUAUGGUGGACAACAAUAUCUCGGAGACAUUUAAUGGGUGGGUGGGUGGAUUCUCGGUGCAAGACACCGAUCAAUAAUUAGUAAGUUGGAUGAGAUUAGAGUGAAAGUUAUGACCAUAAUUGAAAAGAACAACAAAUUGGGGUCGAAAUGGGGAGAAUAUUGCCCAAGGAUACUGACAAAGUUGGAGCGAAUGAAAGAAGAAAGUGCAUUUUGCCACCUUGAUUGGAAUGGAAGUGCGGCAUAUGAGAUUAGGCAUGGUGUAGAGAGGUUUGUUGUCCAUAUGGAUGCUAGGAGUUGCUCUUGUAGAGCAUGGGACAUCUCGGGCAUUCCUUGCCCACAUGUUGUAUGUGCGAUUUAUCAUAAAAGGGAGCAGCCUGAAAGCUAUUUAAGUCAUUGGUACAUGAAGGAAACCUCUAUGAAGACAUAUACAUGCUUUCUAGAGCCAGUGAAUGGUCCUUUGUUGUGGCCUAAAGCUGGACUAGGAAAAAUUGAGCCUCCACCUUCUAGAAUUAUGCGAGGCAGACCGAAGCUGAAAAGAUGAAGAGAGGAGGGUGAAGAACAAUCACAAGGGAACAAGAUGUCGAGAGAUGAUCGUGGUAUUACACAGUUUAAACAUCAAGUUUAAAUUUAAAAUUUAAAUUUAUUCAACUGACUUUUCUUCAUAAUUUUGAUAUAAUAAACAAUGAUCAUAAUUAGAUGAUCGUGGUAUUACACAGUUUAAACAUCAAGUCAUCUGGUUUAUCCACGACUUUUUUUUUUAUCUUUCAGGAAUAUAUUUAAUUUAUAACUUGAAUUGGAUAAAUUUAUUUUUUUCUUUAGAAAUCUUUUAAUGCUUAUUCUUGAUUUUCGAUGUAAUAAUUUAAUGUAAUUAUGCAAUAAAAAUAAAAUAAUAGAGAAAUUUAGAGAAUUUAGACAGUUGAGAUUUUCUUAAUUAAAGGAUGAAUGCUAUGAAGAUUUGCACUUCUUAGAAACACUAGUGAAAAUGCAGUUGUGUUGCACUUGAUGUCAAUUAAGCAUGUA